CAGAGUUAAAGCUGGGUAGAAAUUCAGCUAUGUCAUAUUACCAUUAAACUGUGUAACAAAUUCCUCCUUUUCUCUACAUUUACUCCUCAUUCUUGAGGGGUAUGAAGGGAUGAAGGUCCAUCUUCUAUAACUUCUUUAAGCUGAAUCCAGGAAGUGUUGGUGACUACACACACCCUACCUUGUUCUGCCAAGAGGUCAUCAAGAGCCGGAUGGUUAUAACGCACGAUAUUGGCUAGGGUAGACUCUGGAUGAAACAAGGUGACUCCAAGAGCAAAGCUUAGAAUACCUGAAUACCUGCAAGCAAGACAAGUAGAUUAAGUCCUGACAGAAAAGUAUACGCGGGCCCAAGCUAUUUUUAGCCUCUGUGGACAGCUCCAUAGGGAGAAUGAACUAUUCGUCAACGUCACCCAUAUUUUACUGAAGAUUUUGAAGGUAUUCCAAUGUGACUGACUACUACGUUUCCUCACAUGUGUGCUGCUGUAUCUGAGAUCACCAUGUUUUCAAUUAUCUCAUAUGAACCUGUAAGUAAGAUAAAUCUACUUUUAAAAACAUUAGAGAUAUUGGAACAGUAAGGAAAAUAUUUUUAAUUAAAAUAUCUGCUACUGGCAACUUUGUCAUCUUCCAAAUGUAAAUAUAGAACUUCCAUAACCAUAAAGUUUGUUGUAAAACUUCGUGAUGAUCCUUUCAUCCAAGGGAGUAGCAAGGUCAUGUUAAAAUU
RNAcentral lists this long non-coding RNA (718 nucleotides) under Homo sapiens (human). Its description in RNAcentral is "HSALNT0091888". Lineage: Eukaryota; Metazoa; Chordata; Mammalia; Primates; Hominidae. The record is from RNAcentral.